Molecule: ribosomal RNA, 569 nt
Filed under: uncultured Gammaproteobacteria bacterium
Lineage: Bacteria; Pseudomonadati; Pseudomonadota; Gammaproteobacteria
Description: bacterial SSU rRNA
Rfam family: Bacterial small subunit ribosomal RNA
Source: RNAcentral
UCGAUUUGGAGUUUGUUGCCUAGAGUGAUGGGCUCCGAAGCUAACGCGAUAAAUCGACCGCCUGGGGAGUACGGCCGCAAGGUUAAAACUCAAAUGAAUUGACGGGGGCCCGCACAAGCGGUGGAGCAUGUGGUUUAAUUCGAUGCAACGCGAAGAACCUUACCUGGUCUUGACAUCCACAGAAUCUUGCAGAGGUGCGGGAGUGCCUUCGGGAACUGUGAGACAGGUGCUGCAUGGCUGUCGUCAGCUCGUGUUGUGAAAUGUUGGGUUAAGUCCCGCAACGAGCGCAACCCUUAUCCUUUGUUGCCAUCGGUUAGGCCGGGAACUCAAAGGAGACUGCCGUUGAUAAAGCGGAGGAAGGUGGGGACGACGUCAAGUCAUCAUGGCCCUUACGACCAGGGCUACACACGUGCUACAAUGGCGUAUACAAAGGGAGGCGACCUCGCGAGAGCAAGCGGACCUCCUAAAGUACGUCUAAGUCCGGAUUGGAGUCUGCAACUCGACUCCAUGAAGUCGGAAUCGCUAGUAAUCGUGAAUCAGAAUGUCACGGUGAAUACGUUCCCGGGCCU